This 291-nucleotide long non-coding RNA is filed under the name Homo sapiens (human). RNAcentral describes it as "HSALNT0326516". The record is from RNAcentral. Lineage: Eukaryota; Metazoa; Chordata; Mammalia; Primates; Hominidae.
UUCAGCCUUCAAAACUGUGAAAACCAAUUCUAUUAAUUUAUAAAUUACCUAGUCUGUGAUAUUUUGUUAUAGCAGCACAAAUGACUAAGAUACUUGGACAGCUUAAGAUGUCAAUAAACUCCCAAAAAGAAGGAAUUCGUAAGGACCACAUUGGAUGCAGCAGAUAUAAAUGACCAGACACACAUCAAGUACACCUCAGCCGGGCGAUACAGUAAAGAAAAGGAAGGACAUUUUGUAUAGCCUGUAAGAGAGCAACAAAUAUUAAGAAGAAAAAAUGAAAUGCAACAGGAA